AUUGAACGCUGGCGGCAGGCCUAACACAUGCAAGUCGAGCGGAUGAAGGGAGCUUGCUCCAGGAUUCAGCGGCGGACGGGUGAGUAAUGCCUAGGAAUCUGCCUGGUAGUGGGGGAUAACGUCCGGAAACGGGCGCUAAUACCGCAUACGUCCUGAGGGAGAAAGUGGGGGAUCUUCGGACCUCACGCUAUCAGAUGAGCCUAGGUCGGAUUAGCUAGUUGGUGGGGUAAAGGCCUACCAAGGCGACGAUCCGUAACUGGUCUGAGAGGAUGAUCAGUCACACUGGAACUGAGGCACGGUCCAGACUCCUACGGGAGGCAGCAGUGGGGAAUAUUGGACAAUGGGCGAAAGCCUGAUCCAGCCAUGCCGCGUGUGUGAAGAAGGUCUUCGGAUUGUAAAGCACUUUAAGUUGGGAGGAAGGGCAGUAAGUUAAUACCUUGCUGUUUUGACGUUACCAACAGAAUAAGCACCGGCUAACUUCGUG
Molecule: ribosomal RNA, 484 nt
Filed under: uncultured bacterium
Lineage: Bacteria
Description: partial 16S ribosomal RNA
Rfam family: Bacterial small subunit ribosomal RNA
Source: RNAcentral